Molecule: long non-coding RNA, 451 nt
Organism: Notothenia coriiceps (black rockcod)
Lineage: Eukaryota; Metazoa; Chordata; Actinopteri; Perciformes; Nototheniidae
Exons: 2
Source: RefSeq, a predicted model, not a curated record
CUCGUACAGAGCUGCUCUGACUGGCUGUCUGCAGGCCAGCUCUGGUUCUGGAUCUCUCUCCACACUGGGGACAGGAGGGGUCUCCUGAUGGAGGUCUCUGCUCCCAGUAUGAGGUGAUGCACUGUCUGCAGAACCAGUGUCCACAGCUGGUAGAGACUGGAUCCUUCAGGACGUCCUGACACAGAGCACAGCUGGACAGCUGCUCCUCCACAGGAACACCACUCUUCCUCUUCCCUCUGUGGAGAGGAACACAUCCUUUACAGCACUUUACUUUAUGUUAUCAUAAAACCAAAGAGCAUCCUGUCUGGAUUCAUGACAUCCCCCAGAGGAACACAAGUUCACUGCAUCUACUAAGACACUCAGCUGUAUUAACCUGGUGCUUUAUAAACCCAACUUGCAGAGAAUCUGCUGUGAAUUCAUAGCAAUAAACAUCUGGAAAGGAUGCUGAAAU